Molecule: ribosomal RNA, 672 nt
Filed under: cf. Botryobasidium sp. 7 LR-2016
Lineage: Eukaryota; Fungi; Basidiomycota; Agaricomycetes; Cantharellales; Botryobasidiaceae
Description: eukaryotic LSU rRNA
Rfam family: 5.8S ribosomal RNA (bases 245-398)
Source: RNAcentral
GAGGAAGUAAAAGUCGUAACAAGGUUUCCGUAGGUGAACCUGCGGAAGGAUCAUUAGCGAAGCGAAAGCCCUGCCGGGUUGUGCUGGCGCUCACCGCGCACGUGCACGCCCCAAGGGCCGUCCGUCCUUCACACCCGUGCACAUGUCCGGCUGGAUCUGGCACGCCUCGUGCGUGUUGGCCCGCCGUCUUUUCACCGCUGCCAUGUAGAGUGUCGAAAGCGUCUGCGCUUGCGCAACCUAAUACAACUUUUAACAACGGAUCUCUUGGUUCUCGCAUCGAUGAAGAACGCAGCGAAAUGCGAUAAGUAAUGUGAAUUGCAGAAUUCAGUGAAUCAUCGAAUCUUUGAACGCACCUUGCGCUCCUUGGUAUUCCGAGGAGCAUGCCCGUUUGAGUGUCUCGAUAUCAUCGGAAGCCCGUGCCCCCUGUGGUGCGGUGCUCCUGGACUUGGACGUGCUGCUGGGCGCUGGCCUGGCUCGUCUGAAAUGCAUUAGCGAGAGAUGUGGCGCCUCCCCGGCUCUCAUUGGCGUGAUAAGGUCACCCGUCGAGAGUAUCCCGGUGGUGAGCCCACAAUCCUCCUUGCUCCCAACCGUCCGUGAGGACAACGACGGCCUGCCGUCUGACGUCUGACCUCAAAUCGGGUAGGACUACCCGCUGAACUUAAGCAUAUCAUA